RNAcentral lists this unclassified non-coding RNA (220 nucleotides) under uncultured Thelephoraceae. RNAcentral's name for it is "sequence contains ITS2". The record is from RNAcentral. Lineage: Eukaryota; Fungi; Basidiomycota; Agaricomycetes; Thelephorales; Thelephoraceae.
ACACUUCAACCCUCACGGUUCGCCGUGAUGGGCUUGGACUCUGGAGGUUUUGCUGGCUUUACGGUCGGCUCCUCUCAAACGAAUUAGCUUACCGGUGUAUGGUGGCAUCACAGGUGUGAUAAACUAUCUGCGCUUGUGGUUGUCUGCCAGGUAACCUUCAGCCUUGGAGGUUUGCUGGAGCUUAUAAACGUCUCUCCUCAGCGAAGACAGCUUUCUGAAC